This 86-nucleotide ribosomal RNA is filed under the name Xenorhabdus sp. GDc328. RNAcentral describes it as "partial 23S ribosomal RNA". Lineage: Bacteria; Pseudomonadati; Pseudomonadota; Gammaproteobacteria; Enterobacterales; Morganellaceae. The record is from RNAcentral.
AGGCCGGGUGUGUAAGCGUUGCGAGACGUUGAGCUAACCGGUACUAAUGAGCCGUGCGGCUUAACCUGACAACACCGAAGGUGUUU